AUGAACGCUGGCGGCGUGCCUAAUCCAUGCAAGUCGAGCGAACAGACGAGGAGCUUGCUCCUCUGACGUUAGCGGCGGACGGGUGAGUAACACGUGGAUAACCUACCUAUAAGACUGGGAUAACUUCGGGAAACCGGAGCUAAUACCGGAUAAUAUAUUGAACCGCAUGGUUCAAUAGUGAAAGACGGUUUUGCUGUUACUUAUAGAUGGAUCCGCGCCGCAUUAGCUAGUUGGUAAGGUAACGGCUUACCAAGGCAACGAUGCGUAGCCGACCUGAGAGGGUGAUCGGCCACACUGGAACUGAGACACGGUCCAGACUCCUACGGGAGGCAGCAGUAGGGAAUCUUCCGCAAUGGGCGAAAGCCUGACGGAGCAACGCCGCGUGAGUGAUGAAGGUCUUCGGAUCGUAAAACUCUGUUAUUAGGGAAGAACAAAUGUGUAAGUAACUAUGCACGUCUUGACGGUACCUAAUCAGAAAGCCACGGCUAACUACGUG
RNAcentral lists this ribosomal RNA (496 nucleotides) under uncultured bacterium. RNAcentral describes it as "partial 16S ribosomal RNA". It matches the Rfam family "Bacterial small subunit ribosomal RNA", at positions 29 to 507 of the family's 1533-position model. The record is from RNAcentral.